RNAcentral lists this long non-coding RNA (5170 nucleotides) under Sus scrofa (pig). Its description in RNAcentral is "lncRNA (ENSSSCG00065074976.1)". The record is from RNAcentral. Lineage: Eukaryota; Metazoa; Chordata; Mammalia; Artiodactyla; Suidae.
CCAUUGCUGGGCAGCUACUCAGGCCACAUGGUUGCUGAGCUGAGGCAGGCCGUGUCCUGCAGCUUGAGAAAGUGGGUGCAGGGAGCGAGGCUGUCUCGGUGGGCCCCACCCUUUCUUCCAUCUCCCCUAACCAAUGGCGUCUGGUCUCUAAGCCUGACUGGGUUGCUUCUGCUUAGAUGCUCUCCACGGUGGUCCCUCUAUGCCAGUCCCUCCGGGCUGUUUCCGCCAGGCCAACCCCGUUUUUUCCCUGCAUAGCUGGCCGCAGUGCCCUCUUUGGGUCUGAUCUCUAAGAUCAAAGUUUUAGUUCCCAACACCUGCUGGCACCUGCCUUCGGUUGUGGUUGUCUGUUGCCCGUAUCACUGGCUGUUUGUGGAGGACUGUCUGCUUCUUAAUUGCUUCAGACCAUCUGCCUAGAGCUCCUCCUCCGUUUUUGGCUGGUCUCGUCGCUGGUGGGGAACUUCCCAGGCUGCAGGAGCUGUUCCCCUUUCCAGCUCCCACCUGGGAGAGCAGGUCUCAUCUUGAUUCCUUUUGCUUCUUUUUCUCUUGUUCUUGUUCUUUCUUCUUUCUUAUGUCUGGUCUGGUUUUGUAAUGCUUCUCUUGUUCUAUCGUAUGAGAUCUUUUGUCAGUGUAUGCAAAUUUUCUGUGUGAAUAAUUCCACGUAUAUUUGGAUUUUCAGAGUAUUUGUGGGAGUAGAUGAGCCUUACGUCCUGCUCCUCUGCCAUCUUAGACCCCUCCCAUGUUGAUUUUAUGAGGCUGUGAGCUCUUGGAGUGGGGGCGCCCAAGCCACAUUCUACGGUUUUCCACCGCCUGGCAUUUAGCACAUCACAUAGUAGGUUCCUACUUGUUAUUUGUUAAAACAUAAUUGGAACCUACUGUUGGGCACAGGGAACUCUCCCCAGUAUUCUGCGAUCAUUUAUAUGGGAAAAGAAUCUGGAAGAGAAUGGAUGUGUGCACACAUACAACUGAAUCACUGCUGUACACCCUGUAAAUCAACGGUACUUUAUUAAAACUUAAACAAAAACAAAAACAAAACCCCAUACUGAGUCCCCACUGUGGUGCCGUGGGGUAAGGAUUGGAUGUUGCUGCACCUGCAGCUCAGAUUAAAUCCCUGGCUCUGGAAAUGCCACACGCUGUAGGUGUGGCCGAAAAAGAAAAACAUUAAAACAUAAUCGUGAAGUAAUUUUCUGUUGCCCUGAAGCUGAUACAGAUGACGGCCACUUGUCAGACAACUGGAGAAGAUGGCUUACCAAGCCGUCUCCUUUCUCGGAUGGACAAAGUGUGCAGCCUCCUCUGUCCUGUAGGAACUGUGAUUGUCCGGAAGGUCCACGUUCCCGAGGGUCCCCGCGAGCAGAGCAGGCCCUGCUCCCCUCAGACGCUGACGUCAUUCCUCUCACGCUGCACAUUUAUAACCACCCGCCCCCUUCUUCGGAGCCGUGUAAUGCUCGGCAGCUGCUUUCAGAGGAUGUUCACGGCUCUGGCAGCCGUUUUUUGGGCACCAGGGCUUUUUGGUGACCUUCCCCGCUGUGGCACAGUGGGGUCUGUGUUGUUAUUAUGUCUUAUUUCCAUUUGGGAAAGAGUCUCCUUAAUUGGCAUUUCUGUGCUGGGGCUUUGGGGAGCCAGCUAUGCCCCUUCUGCCCACACCCACUAUUGUCCUUUGUCCCCAGCUGACCUGUGGCUGGCCAUCCAACUCCCUUCUCAUCGAGAAAACUCCACUCCUCUGUGGAUGGAUUUGAUUCUUAAUUCAGAGCCCUUGGGGUUCACAGCCCUCUGAACAAUAAUUUCCACAGUCUGGGAGCCCAUGUAUUAUCUGAGCUGUAUCCGAGGUAUUUCAGUCCAUACAUUAUCUGAGCUAUAUCCAAGGUAUUCCGGCCCAUAUAUUAUCUGAGCUAUAUCCAAGGUAUUUUGGCCCAUAUAUCAUUUGCGCUAUAUCCAAGGAAUUUCAGCCCAUAUAUCAUCUGAGCUAUAUGCAAGGUACUUCAGCCCAUAUAUUAUCUGAGCUAUAUCCAAGGUAUUCCAGCCUAUAUCAUCUGAGCUAUAUCCAAGGUAUUUUGGCCCAUAUAUCAUUUGCGCUAUAUCCAAGGAAUUUCAGCCCAUAUAUUAUCUGAGCUAUAUCCAAGGUAUUCCAGCCCAUAUAUCAUCUGAGCUAUAUGCAAGGUAUUCCAGCCCAUAUAUCAUCUGAGCUAUAUCCAAGAUAUUCUGGCCCAUAUAUCAUCUGAGCUAUAUCCAAGGUAUUCCAGCCCAUAUAUCAUCUGAGCUAUAUGCAAGGUAUUCCGGCCCAUAUAUCAUCUGAGCUAUAUCCAAGGUAUUCCAGCCCAUAUAUCAUCUGAGCUAUAUCCAAGGAAUUUCGGCCCAUGUAUUAUCUGAGCUAUAUCCAAGGUAUUUCAGCCCAUAUAUUAUCUGAGCUAUAUCCAAGGAAUUUCAGUCCGUAUAUUAUCUGAGCUAUAUCCAAGGUAUUCCAGCCUAUAUCAUCUGAGCUAUAUCCAAGGUAUUCUGGCCCAUAUAUCAUCUGAGCUAUAUCCAAGGUAUUCUGGCCCAUAUAUCAUCUGCGCUAUAUCCAAGGAAUUUCAGCCCAUAUAUCAUCUGAGCUAUAUCCAAGAUAUUUCGGCCCAUGUAUUAUCUGAGCUAUAUCCAAGGAAUUUCAGCCCAUAUAUUAUCUGAGCUAUAUCCAAGGUAUUUCAGCCCAUAUAUUAUCUGAGCUAUAUCCAAGGAAUUUCAGUCCGUAUAUUAUCUGAGCUAUAUCCAAGGAAUUUCAGCCCAUAUAUCAUCUGAGCUAUAUCCAAGAUAUUUCGGCCCAUGUAUUAUCUGAGCUAUAUCCAAGGUAUUCCAGCCCAUAUAUUUUCUGAGCUAUAUCCAAGGAAUUUCAGCCCAUAUAUUAUCUGAGCUAUAUCCAAGGUAUUCCAGCCUAUAUUAUCUGAGCUAUAUCCAAGGUAUUUCAGCCCAUAUAUUAUCUGAGCUAUAUCCAAGGUAUUCCAGCCCAUAUAUUUUCUGAGCUAUAUCCAAGGUAUUUCAGUCCAUACAUUAUCUGAACUGUAUCCAAGGUAUUUUGGCCCAUUAGAAAAGUAAAUGACUUUGUGAACAGGAGAAGGAUCUUACAUACAAGCGUUCUUACUCCCACUCCUCCUCAGAUGCUUUCUGAUUGGGGGAAAAAAAAUCUUCAAGCCUGUGGCCCCACAGUGAUUUUUUUAAAGUUUCAUUGACGUCUAGUUGAUUUACACUGUGUGACAAUUUCUGUGGCCCGACAAAGGGAUUCAGUUAUGCAUGUACACACAUCCAUUCUUUUUCGGAUCUUUUCCCAGUAGAAGAUCACAGAAUACUGGGGAGAGUUCUCUGUGCUCGACAGCAGGUCCCUGUGGGCCAGUCACUGCAUAGACCUCAGUGUGCAUGUGCCACCCCCACCCGCAGUCCUCCCCUCCCCUCCACCUGUUCCCUUUGGUUUUCAAACUCUGUGAGUGUUUCUGUUCUGAAAAUAUAUUCCUCUGUAUUUUUUUUUUUUUAGAUUCCGCAUAUAAGUUAUAUCAUAUGAUGUUUUUCUUUCACUGUCUGACUUCACUUUGUAUGGUCACCUCUGGGUCCAUCCGUGUUACUGCAAAUGGCAUUUUUACUGCCAAGAUGGCAUCAUUCAUACCUCACUUAUCUGAGUCUGCUCUUUUUCAGAUAUGUUUGAACAUCCUAAGAAGAGAGAAUGGGAGGGGACGCAUGCCUUUUGGGAGGGCGAACAGAGGUGGAUAGAAGGUCCUGCCUGGGCCCAGAGCAGUAAGAGUGCUUCCUGGGGCCGCGGGAUUUUUCCACGUGGUGUCUGACACACACACCCCGCUCCCUCCCUCCCCAGCCCAGCCUCCAUCCACUCGAAUACACAUUUCCAGGAGGUGCCUUCAGGCCUCACUUUGAGGACCCAUGGGUCACAGGCAGCUGGAGCACCUCCCUCCUUGUCUGCAGGCUCAGCCUGAGUCCUCCUGCCCAGGUCCUGCUUUGCCACGCGCGGUCCCUGCUUCACGAUGACCGGGGCAGCAGCAUCAAGGCCAGCCUAGUUUGAGGGCAACAACUUAAGAUUUCCACCUCUAGUUUUCACAGAGGCCAGCAACACAUUGUUAGAGCUAUUCACUCUGUCUGCACGAUUCUGCUCAUUUCCCGAAAAGCUGAAAGAAGAAUGGGACCAGAGUGGCCUGCGAAGAAUUCGAAUAGGGACCUGGAGGACCAGUUCCCACUCAGCCAAGGUGGGGGCAGCAGCCACGUGCCAGGCUACAUCCUCUGCACGUUGCUCACUUCGGAAUGAGCCACAGCUGGAUGUUUUUGAGUGGGAUUUUCUGGGCAUGCUCCCUGAAUGUUAGAGGCGGUGGGACGGAUAGCAGCCAGCAAAGCAGUGCUGAUUAGGAGUGACGCGUAUGGACAAGUGGAAUGAGAGCGGAGAGGAAGAUGCGGAUGGAAGAGAAGAUGCUGAUGAAAGAGAAAACUUGGAGUUAGAACAGAGAGAGGGAGGGAGGAUGAUGAACCAAGUCAACCAUGUGUCUUGGGUUUCACGCUUUGUCACCAAGAUGGCUUGGAAAGGUUAGCAGACCCUGGGCACAGAAGAGGCACCCAGUAACACUUGCCGAAUCAAAACACGGGAAAUGUUUAGUCUGCAGGCCGCUGCUUUGUUUUCUGGGACUUUUAGAAGACAUGUUUUUGAGUUUCUUAUUUUUAAACAAUUUAACACAUUAAAAAGAAAUUCUCUCUGACGUCUCUCCCUCUCCCAAGUCAUUUGUCAAGGAGGACAGGAUGUGUCAUCUUCCCUGGGGGGGUUUUUAAAGCUGUUCUCCACCAGAUUGGCCACGCAAUGGAUUAUGGACACAAAGAUCACGGGAAGAAUGGCAGACGCUGCCUCGUGUUUCAAACGCACCAUGACCCUGGAGGAUAACUGACACUAAAGCCUGAAGUUAGACAUGAUUAUUCACGUAAAAACUUGUACUGAGAUCUAAGGUGUUUCAGGCAUUCUAGAAGGAAUAUCAAGAUUCAUUUGGACAAAAGGAGCUUUGAGGAGAUUGUAGGAGAAAAGGACAUGUUUGGAGAAAUGUCAGACCUUUGAAAGAGGAGGUUGGUAUAAGCAGGGGGAUUUUUAAAAACACUUCUAUGUAACAAAACUAAGGCAAAAUCAGAAAAAGAAAAUAGCAAAAAAAAAAAAGAAAAAGAAAAA